ACGGGUGCGUAACGCGUGGGAAUCUGCCCUUGGGUUCGGAAUAACAGUGAGAAAUUACUGCUAAUACCGGAUGAUGUCGAAAGACCAAAGAUUUAUCGCCCGAGGAUGAGCCCGCGUAGGAUUAGCUAGUUGGUGAGGUAAGAGCUCACCAAGGCGACGAUCCUUAGCUGGUCUGAGAGGAUGAUCAGCCACACUGGGACUGAGACACGGCCCAGACUCCUACGGGAGGCAGCAGUGGGGAAUAUUGGACAAUGGGCGAAAGCCUGAUCCAGCAAUGCCGCGUGAGUGAUGAAGGCCUUAGGGUUGUAAAGCUCUUUUACCCGGGAUGAUAAUGACAGUACCGGGAGAAUAAGCCCCGGCUAACUCCGUGCCAGCAGCCGCGGUAAUACGGAGGGGGCUAGCGUUAUUCGGAAUUACUGGGCGUAAAGCGCACGUAGGCGGCUUUGUAAGUAAGAGGUGAAAGCCCGGAGCUCAACUCCGGAACUGCCUUUUAGACUGCAUCGCUUGAAUCCAGGAGAGGUGAGUGGAAUUCCGAGUGUAGAGGUGAAAUUCGUAGA
RNAcentral lists this ribosomal RNA (557 nucleotides) under Sphingomonas sp. StRD605. RNAcentral's name for it is "bacterial SSU rRNA". It matches the Rfam family "Bacterial small subunit ribosomal RNA", at positions 102 to 694 of the family's 1533-position model. RNAcentral also lists the same sequence under 7 other names. Lineage: Bacteria; Pseudomonadati; Pseudomonadota; Alphaproteobacteria; Sphingomonadales; Sphingomonadaceae. The record is from RNAcentral.